AGGCUGAGGAAUUCCUGAAGCCUGCAGCGAGCCUGAUCUUACUCCAGUUCUGCAAGCCCAGCCCUGACGCCCAGUCACGUCCUCUUCUUCUGUAGGCCACACACCAGUCUUCUAGACACUCUGCCCCAAGUCCAAAGUUCCUACUCAUAAGACUAGUCCGGGAAGGCUGGGUCUAUGCAGAAAGGCUACAGGCUUAUCAGUGCACACAACCUGAGGAAUCUUGGCACUCAGACCAGUUCAAUGAGAGGUCCAGGUACAAAUCAGGAGUAGCUACAAAAUCUGACUCAAGUUGCCAAAUCCCCAACUCUAUUUAAGACACUACAUCUUGGCAGCUUCGGUGCACUCCGGUACCUACAAGAGGAAAUGUCAAGACCAGCCUUGCCUCCUCCCGGAACGAAGUGGAGCUGACAUCACGUCCGGAUCUGGCCAACCGCCAGGUGGCCGGAAGUGACGUUGCCCGCCGCCUGUACUCUUCGUAAGGAAAAUAAUUGGCGGGCAGUGCUAGGUGUCGCAAAAAUUAAAGGGCUGCUUUCGCCUUGA
Long non-coding RNA from Mesocricetus auratus (golden hamster), 540 nucleotides. RefSeq lists it as uncharacterized. NCBI's taxonomy places the organism in Eukaryota, Metazoa, Chordata, Mammalia, Rodentia, Cricetidae. The record is from RefSeq and is a predicted model, not a curated record. The transcript is spliced from 3 exons.